CCUGGACCCUAUUUUCCAAUGAGUUUGUGUCUAAGCGAUUGACAGGAUCAACAAUCUUUGACAGUGGUCCAGUAAUAAGCAAUAUCGCUGCAGUCAGCAGUGAGCGAAACAGCCUCAA
This is a long non-coding RNA of Etheostoma cragini (Arkansas darter), 118 nucleotides long. RefSeq lists it as uncharacterized. The transcript has 3 exons. The record is from RefSeq and is a predicted model, not a curated record. NCBI's taxonomy places the organism in Eukaryota, Metazoa, Chordata, Actinopteri, Perciformes, Percidae.